AUUGAACGCUGGCGGAAUGCUUUACACAUGCAAGUCGAACGGCAGCACGGACUUCGGUCUGGUGGCGAGUGGCGAACGGGUGAGUAAUGUAUCGGAACGUGCCCAGUCGUGGGGGAUAACGUAGUGAAAAUUACGCUAAUACCGCAUACGAUCUAUGGAUGAAAGCGGGGGAUCGCAAGACCUCGCGCGAUUGGAGCGGCUGAUAUCAGAUUAGGUAGUUGGUGGGGUAAAGGCCCACCAAGCCAACGAUCUGUAGCUGGUCUGAGAGGACGACCAGCCACACUGGAACUGAGACACGGUCCAGACUCCUACGGGAGGCAGCAGUGGGGAAUUUUGGACAAUGGGCGAAAGCCUGAUCCAGCCAUUCCGCGUGCAGGAUGAAGGCCCUCGGGUUGUAAACUGCUUUUGUACAGAACGAAAAGGUUUCUACUAAUACUAGGAGCUCAUGACGGUACUGUAGGAAUAAGCACCGGCUAACUACGUGCCAGCAGCCGCGGUAA
This 500-nucleotide ribosomal RNA is filed under the name uncultured bacterium. RNAcentral describes it as "partial 16S ribosomal RNA". It matches the Rfam family "Bacterial small subunit ribosomal RNA", at positions 30 to 523 of the family's 1533-position model. The record is from RNAcentral.